GACGAACGCUGGCGGCGUGCCUAAUACAUGCAAGUCGAACGCAGUGGGGACGGGUGAGUAACACGUGGGUAACCUCCCAUCAGAGGGGAUAACCCUUGGAAACAGGUGCUAACCCGCUACUGAUGGAUGGACCCGGGGUGCAGUAGCUAGUUGGUGGGGUAACGGCUCACCAAGGCCACGAUGCAUAGCCGAGCUGAGAGGAUGAUCGGCCACACUGGGACUGAGACACGGCCCAGACUCCUACGGGAGGCAGCAGUAGGGAAUCUUGGGCAAUGGACGAAAGUCUGACGGAGCAACGCCGCGUGAGUGAAGAAGGUUUUCGGAUCGUAAAACUCUGUUGUUAGAGAAGCGGUAUCUAACCAGAAAGCAACGGCUAACUACGUGCCAGCAGCCGCGGUAAUAC
RNAcentral lists this ribosomal RNA (403 nucleotides) under uncultured bacterium. RNAcentral describes it as "partial 16S ribosomal RNA". It matches the Rfam family "Bacterial small subunit ribosomal RNA", at positions 28 to 526 of the family's 1533-position model. The record is from RNAcentral.